AAUUCUUCAAAUUAUUUUUUGUUUGAAUUUCUCAGAUUGAUGGUCAAAUUAGUUCAAAUAUUAAAAGGAAUGAUUUGAUUCUACAUAUAUAUAUAUAUAUAUAUUUAUACAUGGAUUAUGUAUGUUAUGAUAAUUUAAUGAGCUAUAUAUCAAUUAAGAAAAAAAAAAUGUGACAUAAAUGAUAAUUGAGUUAAAUUAAUCUUUAACCGUAUAAUUCUGUCCAUACUGUGAAUUGUGCGAAAGUAGGAUACUCCAAAUUUAAGGGUUCAAGAAUUUUAUAAAAUAU
Molecule: long non-coding RNA, 286 nt
Filed under: Carica papaya (papaya)
Lineage: Eukaryota; Viridiplantae; Streptophyta; Magnoliopsida; Brassicales; Caricaceae
Description: long non-coding RNA (CPAP_LNC001037)
Source: RNAcentral